CAAUUGUUCGAUUGCGCAGAAAUUUGAAAAUGGACAAAUGAAUGGAAGGAUCUUAGGAGAUUCUGGGUACCCUCUAAGGCCAUGGAUCAUGACACCAGUUAGUAAUCCAAAUUCCAGAGGAGAAGAUCGGUAUAAUGGGUCUCACAGGAGAACUCGUGUGGUGGUUGAACAGGCCUUUGGAGUGCUAAAAUCCCACUUCAGGUGUCUCCACAAAACAGGCGGAGCUCUUGAGUACACACGAGCAAAAUGCUGCAAGAUUAUAUACGUGUGCUGUCAACUCCGUAACAUCUGUAUUGACAAGCGAAUUCCAGUUUUUGAGGAACCUGAAGAAGAACUAGUUGAAGCUUAAGACGAGGUAACUUACCAGGGACCUAUCAAUGACGGCAAAACAACCAGAGAACAAUUGAUAAGACAACAAUUUACAAAGAAAUACCCAUACGUUUUGGUUGGUUGAAGCUGCUUCUCGUGAUCUGGAGCCUCUGGAAGUGUUGGGGUGGCGGCUUGCUCACCAGAAGAUGGACCUGGGGAUUGA
Saccostrea echinata is the source of this 532-nucleotide long non-coding RNA. RefSeq lists it as uncharacterized. The record is from RefSeq and is a predicted model, not a curated record. The transcript is spliced from 3 exons. Lineage: Eukaryota; Metazoa; Mollusca; Bivalvia; Ostreida; Ostreidae.